This is a long non-coding RNA of Ornithodoros turicata, 177 nucleotides long. RefSeq lists it as uncharacterized. The record is from RefSeq and is a predicted model, not a curated record. NCBI's taxonomy places the organism in Eukaryota, Metazoa, Arthropoda, Arachnida, Ixodida, Argasidae. The transcript is spliced from 3 exons.
UUGGAGAGAAUGCCACCUCACGAACAAAGACAGAGAUGAUGUUGUUACUGCUUCAGUCACGAAAGCCCACAUGUGAACUUGGAGAGAAUGCCACCUCACGAACAAAGACAGAGAUGAUGUUGUUACUGCUUCAGUCACGAAAGCCCACAUGUGAACUUGGAGAGAAUGCCACCUUAC